This 224-nucleotide ribosomal RNA is filed under the name uncultured bacterium. RNAcentral describes it as "partial 16S ribosomal RNA". It matches the Rfam family "Bacterial small subunit ribosomal RNA", at positions 980 to 1204 of the family's 1533-position model. The record is from RNAcentral.
UACCCUUGACAUGCCAGGAAUCCUGCAGAGAUGUGGGAGUGCUCGCAAGAGAGCCUGGACACAGGUGCUGCAUGGCUGUCGUCAGCUCGUGUCGUGAGAUGUUGGGUUAAGUCCCGCAACGAGCGCAACCCUUGCCAUUAGUUGCUACGAAAGGGCACUCUAAUGGGACUGCCGGUGACAAACCGGAGGAAGGUGGGGAUGACGUCAAGUCCUCAUGGCCCUUA